AGUUAGAGGCGCGAUUGUCAUACGUAGCACGGCGGAGGGGACCCACCCCGGAGAAGCCGCGCGAGGGGGCUGUCGCCGAAACGGAACUUUGCCGCGGGAGGCGGUUCUGUUGGGCGCCGGGAGAAUAUCUCGGCGACUGUCACAAGGAUUCCUUGUGGAGUGCUACUUC
RNAcentral lists this non-coding RNA (169 nucleotides) under human gut metagenome. Its description in RNAcentral is "Lysine riboswitch". It matches the Rfam family "Lysine riboswitch aptamer". Rfam says of the family: Riboswitches are metabolite binding domains within certain messenger RNAs that serve as precision sensors for their corresponding targets. Allosteric rearrangement of mRNA structure is mediated by ligand binding, and this results in modulation of gene expression. The record is from RNAcentral.